UCCGUAGGUGAACCUGCGGAUGGAUCAUUUCGAUGAAAACCUUUUUUCUUGAGGUGUGGCUCGCACCUGUCUAACUAAACUUGAGCUACCUUUUUUCAACACGGUUGCAUCGGUUGGCCUGUCAAACAGUGCGGCGAUCGCGAAAUUGAUUUUUCGCAGCUGCCCAACUCGGCGACGGACCGACACUUUUUACCAAACACUUUUGAUGAUCUAGGAUUUGAAUGAGAAAAGUUCAUUUUUACAAAUGAAAUCGACUGGUAAUGCGGUCGUCUAAUUUUUAAAAACAACUUUUGGCAACGGAUCUCUUGGUUCUCCCAUCGAUGAAGAACGCAGCGAAUUGCGAUAAGUAAUGUGAAUUGCAGAAGUGAAUCAUCGAAUCUUUGAACGCACCUUGCGCUCCCGGCAGAUYUAAUCUGGGGAGCAUGCCUGUUUGAGGGCCGCGAAUUGUUUCGAACGACAACUUUUUUCACAAAGAGUUGGCGGAUCGGUAUUGAGAGUUUUUUUUUGCCAUUCACCGUGGCUCUCUCGAAAUGCAUUAGCGCAUCCAUUUGAUAGGCAAGACGGACGAAAGCUCAUCUUUUCGCUCUCUCUUCCCUGCCGGGUUUUGAUAAUAUCAGGACUUCGGAGAGGUUGAGAUGGGUACGAGCUGGACGCAACGACUUGCUGUUUGGAGUGCUUCUGAAACCUGCCCAUGUCGAGCACUAUGCUCGGAAGGGAUUUUACUAAUUCACAUCGGCCUCAGAU
RNAcentral lists this ribosomal RNA (744 nucleotides) under Ustilago sparsa. RNAcentral describes it as "eukaryotic LSU rRNA". The stretch from base 286 to 440 matches the Rfam family "5.8S ribosomal RNA". Lineage: Eukaryota; Fungi; Basidiomycota; Ustilaginomycetes; Ustilaginales; Ustilaginaceae. The record is from RNAcentral.